Molecule: long non-coding RNA, 1124 nt
Organism: Rosa chinensis
Lineage: Eukaryota; Viridiplantae; Streptophyta; Magnoliopsida; Rosales; Rosaceae
Exons: 8
Source: RefSeq, a predicted model, not a curated record
UUAUAGUAUCUGCAAGAGCUUUAUCUGAGACAAAUGCAGCUACAUGAAGUCCCAACAGAUAUCUUGAGUUUGCAGCAACUACGGAUCCUAAACCUCAUCCAAAAUUCCAUGCAGUCGGUUCCAGUGUUCACAGUGCUCAUUGUAGGUUAUAUUCAACGUUGAUGGAGGAGAGGGUGGUUUUGAAAUGGAGGAAGAAUGAGGAUGUUCUGUGGUUUGGGUUGUCACUGUUUCUGCGUUUUCCUCUUGCUUCGUCAUUGAACGAUGAAGAAACUUGCAGGGGAAUAAACUAACUGGUCAAAUCCGGGAUGAGAUUGGUAACUGUGCUUCUCUUAUUUAUCUGAUGGCACCAUCUAGAAUUCAUGUUACUUGUGCACUAGUUUGUGACAAAACAUCAACAGGAAGGAUUCACAAAGGAGUGUGUUCAACAUGGAUGAAGUGAUGGUUGUAGUUGGGCACCCAUUUUUGUUCGGCAAUCAAACUUCAGACUUCCCGUUGAUACUAAAGUACCCAUUAUCAUGAUUGGUCCUGGAACUGGAUUUGCUCCUUUCAGGGAUUUCUUGCAGACUUCCAGGAAAGAUUAGCUCUUACAGAAGAUGGAGCAGAACUUGGACCCUCCGUAUUAUUCUUUGGAUGCAGAAAUAGUCAAGUUUCUCUAGAAAGAUCCAUAUGGUUGCGGUGGACAAGUAUUGGGCGCUUGCUGGUUUGUCUGCCUAAUUCUCAAAUGCUAAAUUGAUUUACUGAUAUUAUUGUAGGACUACAAUUACGAAGAUGAGCUGAACAACUUCGUAGAAAAAGGUGCACUUUCUGAGCUUGUGGUUGCAUUCUCCUGCCAAGGACCCACCAAGGAAUAUGUGCAACAUAAAAUGAUGCAGAAGGAAGCUGUCAAGGGACAAUUAUGGAGAUUACGUGAUCCCCAAGGGAAGCCAUCAGGUGUAAUACAGUAGUACAGCUAGCUAGAUCCUAUAUUUAACUUGUGUCUAGUAGAAAUUCUUUCUUCAUUAAGCAUUUGGACUUGUCUGCAGAUUUAGAUUAGUAGAUAUGGGCCAUUUUGAAUUGAUGCUCAUGAUUAGGUUUGUGUACAUGAGACAAUGGUGGAUUAGUGGAAAUUGCAAUGAGUGAUUUUG